RNAcentral lists this unclassified non-coding RNA (390 nucleotides) under soil metagenome. RNAcentral's name for it is "partial contains 5.8S ribosomal RNA, internal transcribed spacer 2, and large subunit ribosomal RNA". The stretch from base 1 to 122 matches the Rfam family "5.8S ribosomal RNA", at positions 35 to 154 of the family's 154-position model. The record is from RNAcentral.
GAUGAAGAACGUAGCGAAAUGCGAUACUUGGUGUGAAUUGCAGAAUCCCGUGAACCAUCGAGUCUUUGAACGCAAGUUGCGCCCGAAGCCAUUAGGCCGAGGGCACGCCUGCCUGGGCGUCACACGUCGUUGCCCCCCCAUCUACUCCUUCGGGAUUGCGGGGGGCGGAUGAUGGCCUCCCGUGCGCCUCGUCGCGCGGUUGGCAUAAAUGCCAAGUCCUCGGCGACGCACGCCACGACAAUCGGUGGUUGCGAAACCUCGGUUGCCCGUCGUGUGCGGUCGUCGCGCAUCGAGGGCUCGAAAAAAUUGCCGGGCUCCGACUCGGCUUUCAACGCGACCCCAGGUCAGGCGGGGUUACCCGCUGAAUUUAAGCAUAUCAAAAGCGGAGGA